This 489-nucleotide long non-coding RNA is filed under the name Oryzias javanicus (javanese ricefish). RNAcentral describes it as "lncRNA (ENSOJAG00000000646.1)". Lineage: Eukaryota; Metazoa; Chordata; Actinopteri; Beloniformes; Adrianichthyidae. The record is from RNAcentral.
AUUUGAAUUUGCAGCAUUUGUCCGUUCAGUUCAAAGCUAAACGACCGUAUUGCUCCCCUCCCCCACCGCAGGUGUGUGUCAGCCCGGCUGCGUGAACGGCGGCAGGUGCGUCGGUCCAGGUGUUUGCGACUGCCCGUCUGGCUGGCACGGGAACAAAUGCGAGAAACCCAGCUGUCUCCAGAAGUGCCUGAAUGGAGGAGAAUGCGUGGGUUCAAACACCUGCCACUGUUCCCCCGGGUGGCGCGGCACGCUCUGUCAGAUCCCUCACUGUCAACAACAAUGUCUGUACGGGAGCCGCUGCGUCCGGCCCAACGUCUGCGCCUGCAGAAGGGGGUACUCGGGGUCCCAGUGCUCCAAGAAGCUGCCGAUCCUGAGAGGCUGAUCGUCCAACGUUCAACCGACAUCCUGCCAACGCAAAGCUGGUCUUCAUCCAACGCACAGCUACUGCUCGGCCAUCGUCAGGAUAAUGUUCAUCCGACUUUCAGCUAA